Molecule: ribosomal RNA, 254 nt
Filed under: uncultured bacterium
Lineage: Bacteria
Description: partial 16S ribosomal RNA
Rfam family: Bacterial small subunit ribosomal RNA
Source: RNAcentral
UACGGAGGAUCCAAGCGUUAUCCGGAAUUACUGGGCGUAAAGAGUUGCGUGGGUGGCAUGGAAAGUUGUUAGUGAAAGCGUGCGGCUCAACCGCAUACACAUUACCAAAACUCCCAAGCUUGAGGACAAGAGAGGUCACUGGAAUUCCUAGUGUAGGAGUGAAAUCCGUAGAUAUCAGGAGGAACACCGGUGGCGAAGGCGGGUCUCUGGGCCGAUACUGACGCUGAGGAGCGAAAGCCAGGGGAGCAAACGGG